UUUGGUGCAUGUAAUUGUAAUAACCCUAUGUUCAAAUUCAGCUAUAAAUGCAUGAAUCUUGUAGCGUUAAAACCUGAGGCAAGGAGAAGAGUAGUGUAAAAUGGCAUCACUCAAAGCUGAGAUACCUGUUGAGAAAUCUUGUUGCUCUCAACCAUCUGCAGGACAGGUGAAGAAAGAGUCUUCUGCCAAACCUAGUUCAGGCACUUCCAAAGCCACAGCCUCCAAACCAACCCCAAAGAAAACUCCAAGCCAGAAUAGGAAGAAGGCAAGCAGCAAUAAAUAAGCUGAAGAUGUGAGAGUGAAAAGUACGAAUGGCUAAAAAAUAGUAGUUGGACUUGGAAUUAUGGGAGGAGUCCAUAAGGAUAAUGUUAUAUGGUGCUCUUCAACCAUGAUUAUACUAAGUAGUGCUAUUGUCUGUACCACUUGUUUAUGUUGUUUCUUUGUUAUGUAACUCCAAGAUGCCUUGGCCUAAUAAAUAAAAUAUACUUAUUCUAUGA
Glycine soja is the source of this 497-nucleotide long non-coding RNA. RefSeq lists it as uncharacterized. The record is from RefSeq and is a predicted model, not a curated record. The transcript has 2 exons. NCBI's taxonomy places the organism in Eukaryota, Viridiplantae, Streptophyta, Magnoliopsida, Fabales, Fabaceae.